UUUUUUUCUUGAGAAUGACGUUGUCCGAAUGAUGCACACAGUCUGGUGACGAAGUGCACGAGAAGAGUCUCGGUGAGGUCAGCAGACAGUCGUCUGCAGUAAUGAAGACUAAACUGAGAUUUCUUGUUUUAAUCCUCUGCGUCGUACUUGUUGUUCUUACCUGGGAGGUGUUUAGAAGACGCCAUCAUCAUCUGGAGUUGGCAGUGUCUACCUUUCCUCACCUUGUGAGCAGCAACAAGAGCACCCAGUCGACAGGAACAGCCCACGACCAGGAUUCUUCGACCACCUUGUACCCGACAGCUUCCGUCAAUCACGUGUCCUCAAAGCCCGAAGAUUCAUCGCUAAGCAAGAGAACUUGGUAUCAGCCGACCACUCUGUCCUACCCCACUAGUUCAUGUGCUGGAGGCUGGGAAUUCCGAAGCUCAUCUACUAUUUCCUCUGUCACAAACAGCUCGACAACGUUCGCUUCGUUGAACAGCCUCAACGGGUCCAGGGUGGUCUGCGCAUCCCUCCAAUACGGGUUGGGAAAUCAGAUGUUUCAGUAUGCUUCUCUUUUAGGGAUUGCCCUCAAAACAAACAGGAUACCGGUCGUUUUGAAGAGUUCGUCUCUGUUACACGAUGUGCUGCGUAAUACUUCGAUAAUUGACAAUUCUGUCAAAUACUCAGAUCAGUGCAACGAGAGCAUCAUGUGGGAGUCUGCAUGUUGCAAAUUUUCUCCACAGUUCUUCGAGCUGGAUCCAAACAAGAAUUAUACGAUUGGACUCUACCUGCAGUCGUGGCGAUACUUCUUUGAACACGAGGCGGAAAUACGCCAAGCGAUGAAGUUCAAGGACUCUGUAGUGUCCCAGGCUCAGCAGGUGGUUGACAGCCUGCGACAGAAAUACCACCGCACGCUGACAGGCGUCCACGUACGCAGGGGAGACUACCUGUACUAUACUGGUCAGGGAUUUAAGACAGCUCCUUUAGAAUAUCUUUUGCACGCCAUGGAUUACGUCAGAAAGCGGUUCGGUGACGUCGCUUUUGUUGUCUCCUCGGAUGACGUCAUAUGGUGCCAGGAACAGUUUGCAAACGCAAGUGACGUCAUUGUGCUGUCGGCCGAUUCGCCGCCUGCUGUUGACAUGAUGACUCUUGCGUCACUGGAUCACAUGAUCAUGACGGUGGGCACGUACGGGUGGUGGGCUAGUUUUCUGAACCCCGGGGUCGCCGUCUACUACCGAGACUUUGUACAUCCGGGUACAUCUCUAUCAGAAAGUUUCAACCCAAACGGAACGGACUACUACUGUCCAGUGUGGAUUUCUUUGUCGUGAAUGACAUCGUCAUCGUCAUCAGUAGUGUUGACAGCGGGGAUGUGUUUACUUGAAUGUGUUGUGUGGUGGUGAGACAGUCACAGAGUAGUGUCACGUCUGUGGGAUGUCGCCGGUGCUGAUGUUGAGGGCUUAUCAUCAUGGUUGUCAUCAGCUCCCCCUGUGGUUGUUGAAAGUGCUGAUCAGACAAGUCACUCUCUCACCUUCUGCUAUGAACAGAGGACUUACAGCUGUAUACAGAUGAUACAAACGUGUAUUUCUCUGAUACAAAUGAUCAGGAGAAUGACAUCAAGGACCUGAUACAAUGAAGCUCGUGUUUACAUUUGUCUUCCUGAUGACUUUCUUGAAUUAAUCGUUCACGUCUUGUGGAGAGAUUAAUUGCCAUCAUCUCAACUUUGUGCUUUUGCACCUGUCCCAUCUGCUGCGUCUAAUGGGAUUUUGUAAUAAACUUUACAGCUCAUUAAACAUUUUCAAAAUUC
This 1783-nucleotide unclassified non-coding RNA is filed under the name Pomacea canaliculata. RNAcentral describes it as "galactoside 2-alpha-L-fucosyltransferase 2-like, transcript variant X1". The record is from RNAcentral. Lineage: Eukaryota; Metazoa; Mollusca; Gastropoda; Architaenioglossa; Ampullariidae.